CCCCAAUGGGUUCUCCGGAUUUCUGGAGACUUGUAGGGGUUGUGGGAUUUUUGAUGUGUCGUCUCCGGACGGGCGGUGCAGGGUAGUCGAGUUAGACUUGGUGGAAUUCCGUCGAUAGGAGUUCCGUCGAGUCUGGUCGGCUGUGUGUUGGACGGUGCAGGGUAGGCUGCUUGGACAUGGUCGGUUCGAGGAUCGAUUCGAGGGCCGGCGCCUAUCGAUGAUGUGUGAUGUAUGCGGUCUAGGGUAGGCUGGUUUGUCUUGGUCCAAUUUGAUGUCGGCUCCCGUGCAGGCCAGAGUGAAGGGGGGUCCAGGGUAGGUACAGGGUAGGCAGCUUAUAUUUGGUCGGUCUGGAGGUCGAUUCUCUGGCUGGCGGAUCUGACACUGUCGAAACGAGAUGCGAGCGGUGUAGGGUAGGCUAGUUUCGUCCUCGCCAGGUUGCGAUUUGGACGAGAUAUGUGGUUCAGGGUAGGCUCUAGGGUAAGUAGAAUUCGAGUUUCGUCGCCGACAGUUUUCUGUGUGUGUAUGGUAGGUGCAGGGUAGGCAAAUCUCUCUCCGGCCAGUACUUGUCUGGUGGUCGUGAGUCGAUUUUUUUGUUUUGCCAUACUAUUGAAUUUUGCGGAAAUUCAAAAGUGGCUCGGGAGUCCCGCCUGGCGUGCGUCCGACUCGAACAUCGUCGGUGUACAUAUGAGAGGGAGUAAUCCGGCCCGGCCGGGGCCCAUCGCGAGCUGCAGGGUAGGUAAAAGUAAAAAAGUUGUUAAGAGGCGCGGUGUCGGCGUGCUUGUAUUUGCGGGAGAGAAUUAUCUGGAGGUGCUGGGUAGCCGGGAAGACUUGGAUGGAUCUGGCCCGGGAAUGGGUCUGCGCCUGGAUUCUGGUGUGGUGUAGGGUAGGUGUAGAUAGAUGAGUGGUCUAGGGUAGGUACAGGGUAGCUAGAAGUCUGGUAUAUAGUAUUGGGGGGGUGUAGGGUAGGUCUGGGCACUGUUUUCCGCUUCGCCCUUCCCUUUACUCGAGGGGAGGACGAUCUUGGCUGGGCCGGAGGUGUAGGGUAGGCUUAAUUUACGAUUAUAUAAUCUGCAUCACUCUAGGGUAGCUGAAAAUCUUAUAUGUAUCUGGUCACAUUUGGUGAAGAGGUUGGUUUGGGAUGGUGAGAUGAACAAAAGUGCAAUGUAGAAUUUGUAUAUGAUUUUGCAAAAGUGGGCGUGAAAUU
RNAcentral lists this unclassified non-coding RNA (1204 nucleotides) under Fusarium veterinarium. RNAcentral describes it as "partial 28S-18S ribosomal RNA intergenic spacer". The record is from RNAcentral. Lineage: Eukaryota; Fungi; Ascomycota; Sordariomycetes; Hypocreales; Nectriaceae.